CUUCUGCAGAAAGUGCUGGAUGAUUUUUCCCCGUAAAUAUAGAAGAAGCCAUAGAAAACCUGCCUUUUCUCAGCUGUGGUGAUAACUUUCCAGGGAAUUGUGGCAUUCAGAUCUAAGCUUGUGAAAUCAAUGCCUUGCUGCAGAAGAACCGGGUUGCAUCUUACUGGACUCCUUUGUGGUUCAGUAUGCACAUGUGUUUGUCAUUGCUCCCCUCUUCCAAUUAUUGCAAACUAUCUCCACAACAGUUACUACAUUAUUACAUUCCUGCUGUAUUUAGUGAUUACUCUAUCCUAUCCUAUCCUAUCCUAUCCUAUCCUAUCCUAUCCUAUCCUAUCCUAUCCUAUCCUAUUCUAUUCAGCUAUCCCAUCCCAUCCCAUCCCAUCCCAUCCCAUCCCAUCCCAUCCCAUCCCAUCCCAUCCCAUCCCAUCCUAUCCUAUCCUAUCCUAUCCUAUCCUAUCCUAUCCUAUCCUAUCCUAUCCUAUCCUAUCCUAUCCUAUCCUAUCCUAUCCUACUCUUAUCCCAGAUCAGAGAAGGAUGCUGCAGAUUGUGGCAGCAGAUAAUUUGUCUACACCUUUUGUAGCUGCAGACCACCAAAGAGCCUAGCAUAAAGGCAUCUGAGGACAGAUUCAAGCACAACUUCAGCAUAUGCAAUACUUGACAUGUACUUACGUUAUUGGGAAUUUAUGAGGUCUGAAUAGUCUUCUGCCUCUUUUUAGCUAUGUUUUGCCUGGGAGGAUGGUGUUCAUCUGACAAAAUGUAGGCAGCUAUGCCUGAGACAGACAAUGGGAAGGAACAAGUCCUUUAGGGGAUCACCAUGUUGCCUAUAUAUAUAUGCAUAUAUUUAUUUAUGUCAAAUAUAUUCACACAUAUACACUGCUUUAUAUAUACACAUGUACUGCAAUAUAUAUACAUAUACAUGUACAUGUAUAUAUAUAGCUCUGUCUAUAUAUGUACGUAGCUUUACACAUAUAUACAUAUGUAUAUGUAUAUAGGCCAAAUGACUCACUGGUUUAAGGCAUGGGUUUUCCUUCACUGACUCUAAAUGAUGCCCAUAUUUAUCAGAUUACCUAUAGAUGCUUAUAUGGUAUAUGUCAAAAACCAAAUGGGAUGAAUCCUUUCCUUAUAGUUCAGGAGGUAUAGAAUGUUAGUGUAAUUUUCUGUUUUGUGAUAAAAUGUGUGUCAUUGUUUUACUGGUUUGUAUUCCUGUUGAGUUACUCUCAUAUCAUAGCCUUGAUAUUUAUACUAUCCAUGCCUGAGUUACUCUUACUCCAUAGCUUUGAUAUUUAUACUUUCCAUGUUUUUUGCUGUUGUUGUUGUUUUAUUUUAUUUUAUUUUAUUCCUGCUGGAAUAAGACUAAUUCAUAAUAUGUAUCUUUAUACAGAUGGAUAUGUAAUGGUCUAACUUUAUGCUGUUAUUUUGUAUGGGAGCAAAAAACAACCUGUAUUUAUGCAAUAGAUGAUAGGUUUCCAAAUCUGUCAGCUGCUCCGAAGUCUGCGAGCAGUGGUACUAGCGCUUGUGCUUCAUUAGGUUAAUGCACAUUAGUUACUGUUAACAUAACUCCGUUAAGCACUGCAGUUAGGCUGGCCUGGCUUGUCCCACUCAU
RNAcentral lists this long non-coding RNA (1603 nucleotides) under Anser cygnoides (Swan goose). RNAcentral's name for it is "lncRNA (ENSACDG00005019290.1)". The record is from RNAcentral. Lineage: Eukaryota; Metazoa; Chordata; Aves; Anseriformes; Anatidae.